RNAcentral lists this ribosomal RNA (253 nucleotides) under uncultured bacterium. RNAcentral's name for it is "partial 16S ribosomal RNA". It matches the Rfam family "Bacterial small subunit ribosomal RNA", at positions 524 to 776 of the family's 1533-position model. The record is from RNAcentral.
UACGAAGGGGGCUAGCGUUGCUCGGAAUUACUGGGCGUAAAGGGCGCGUAGGCGGCCCGUCAAGUCCCGUGUGAAAGCCCCCGGCUCAACCGGGGAACGGCGCGGGAAACUAGCAGGCUUGAGUUCGGGAGAGGGAAGCGGAAUUCCGGGUGUAGCGGUGAAAUGCGCAGAUAUCCGGAGGAACACCGGUGGCGAAGGCGGCUUCCUGGACCGACACUGACGCUGAGGCGCGAAAGCUAGGGGAGCAAACGGG